RNAcentral lists this ribosomal RNA (753 nucleotides) under Exserohilum rostratum. RNAcentral's name for it is "partial large subunit ribosomal RNA". It matches the Rfam family "Eukaryotic large subunit ribosomal RNA", at positions 77 to 847 of the family's 3401-position model. Lineage: Eukaryota; Fungi; Ascomycota; Dothideomycetes; Pleosporales; Pleosporaceae. The record is from RNAcentral.
GCCCUAGUAACGGCGAGUGAAGCGGCAACAGCUCAAAUUUGAAAUCUGGCUCUUUCAGAGUCCGAGUUGUAAUUUGCAGAGGGCGCUUUGGCUUUGGCAGCGGUCCAAGUUCCUUGGAACAGGACGUCACAGAGGGUGAGAAUCCCGUACGUGGUCGCUAGCUAUUGCCGUGUAAAGCCCCUUCGACGAGUCGAGUUGUUUGGGAAUGCAGCUCUAAUGGGAGGUAAAUUUCUUCUAAAGCUAAAUAUUGGCCAGAGACCGAUAGCGCACAAGUAGAGUGAUCGAAAGAUGAAAAGCACUUUGGAAAGAGAGUCAAACAGCACGUGAAAUUGUUGAAAGGGAAGCGCUUGCAGCCAGACUUGCUUGCAGUUGCUCAUCCGGGCUUUUGCCCGGUGCACUCUUCUGCAGGCAGGCCAGCAUCAGUUUGGGCGGUGGGAUAAAGGUCUCUGUCAUGUACCUCUCUUCGGGGAGGCCUUAUAGGGGAGGCGACAUACCACCAGCCUAGACUGAGGUCCGCGCAUCUGCUAGGAUGCUGGCGUAAUGGCUGUAAGCGGCCCGUCUUGAAACACGGACCAAGGAGUCUAACAUCUAUGCGAGUGUUUGGGUGUCAAGCCCGAGCGCGUAAUGAAAGUGAACGGAGGUGGGAACCCCGCAAGGGUGCACCAUCGACCGAUCCUGAAGUUUACGGAAGGGAUUUGAGUAAGAGCAUGGCUGUUGGGACCCGAAAGAUGGUGAACUAUGCUUGAAUAGGGU